CCUACGGGGUGCUGCAGUGGGGAAUAUUGGACAAUGGGCGAAAGCCUGAUCCAGCCAUGCCGCGUGUGUGAAGAAGGCCUUCGGGUUGUAAAGCACUUUCAGUGGGGAAGAAAGCCUUGGGGCUAAUACCCUCGAGGAAGGACAUCACCCACAGAAGAAGCACCGGCUAACUCCGUGCCAACAGCCGCGGUAAUACGGAGGGUGCGAGCGUUAAUCGGAAUUACUGGGCGUAAAGCGCGCGUAGGCGGUCUGAUAAGCCGGUUGUGAAAGCCCCGGGCUCAACCUGGGAACGGCAUCCGGAACUGUCAGGCUAGAGUGCAGGAGAGGAAGGUAGAAUUCCCGGUGUAGCGGUGAAAUGCGUAGAGAUCGGGAGGAAUACCAGUGGCGAAGGCGGCCUUCUGGACUGACACUGACGCUGAGGUGCGAAAGCGUGGGUAGCAAACAGGAUUAGAUACCCCUGUAGUC
Molecule: ribosomal RNA, 465 nt
Filed under: Vreelandella stevensii
Lineage: Bacteria; Pseudomonadati; Pseudomonadota; Gammaproteobacteria; Oceanospirillales; Halomonadaceae
Description: partial 16S ribosomal RNA
Rfam family: Bacterial small subunit ribosomal RNA
Source: RNAcentral